GUGGUGGCUCAGCGGUAGAGUGCUCGCCUAGAACAUGGAAGGCCCUGGGUUUGAUCCUCAGCACCACA
Molecule: transfer RNA, 68 nt
Filed under: Marmota monax (woodchuck)
Lineage: Eukaryota; Metazoa; Chordata; Mammalia; Rodentia; Sciuridae
Description: tRNA.Ser
Source: RNAcentral